RNAcentral lists this ribosomal RNA (306 nucleotides) under Escherichia coli. Its description in RNAcentral is "partial 16S ribosomal RNA". It matches the Rfam family "Bacterial small subunit ribosomal RNA", at positions 1 to 301 of the family's 1533-position model. Lineage: Bacteria; Pseudomonadati; Pseudomonadota; Gammaproteobacteria; Enterobacterales; Enterobacteriaceae. The record is from RNAcentral.
UUAAAUUGAAGAGUUUGAUCAUGGCUCAGAUUGAACGCUGGCGGCAGGCCUAACACAUGCAAGUCGAACGGUAACAGGAAGCAGCUUGCUGCUUCGCUGACGAGUGGCGGACGGGUGAGUAAUGUCUGGGAAACUGCCUGAUGGAGGGGGAUAACUACUGGAAACGGUAGCUAAUACCGCAUAACGUCGCAAGACCAAAGAGGGGGACCUUCGGGCCUCUUGCCAUCGGAUGUGCCCAGAUGGGAUUAGCUUGUUGGUGGGGUAACGGCUCACCAAGGCGACGAUCCCUAGCUGGUCUGAGAGGAU